CUGAAUAGGCGGGCCUCGAUCCCGCG
RNAcentral lists this transfer RNA (26 nucleotides) under Anolis cybotes (large-headed anole). RNAcentral describes it as "partial tRNA-Asx". The record is from RNAcentral. Lineage: Eukaryota; Metazoa; Chordata; Lepidosauria; Squamata; Anolidae.